AAUGGAGGGGGAAGAAGCUUUUUGGAUGCAGAGCGAAUUAAAGGUUACCACUUUCUACUUUCUAUUACUCCUCAAUUGAUUAUUCAACUUUUUGUUUUUAGUUUUUAGAAGAUAUGUUGAUCUGUCUUUUUUUCGGCUUUACGAAAUAUAUACAUGAGUUCUGCUCUUCUGUAACCUCUUAAGCUACAAACUUGUAUGUGUUGUUGUUUGGCUUUGCAGCCAGAAGCCAAAACUACUAAGGCAUCUCCACUUCACGGGCCUUGGUCGUCAGCCGGAACAAACUAGCUUAAACCCUUCUUCUAGCAACUUCUCCACUUCUUCAAACUGAAGCCCUUUAGUCUAAGGCACAAACAGACAGAUUAAGAACAGCCCGAAUGCCGAGGACUCUGCAAAGAGAAGGCCUUGAAGGAUUUAACUUGAGGUACAAGUUUAUUACAAUUCUCUGUUGACUGGUAAAAUUUUGUUACGGGUACUUAUAUUGAAGAUCAUACACCUUCUCUGCUCUUGACUUGAAUGAAGAGUAAGAUCUCCCUCUCUUUCUCCGUUCCUGUCCUAAGUUGUUAUGUACUGGGUGUUGGUUUAACUUUAACGAUGAAUGAAGC
This 602-nucleotide long non-coding RNA is filed under the name Capsella grandiflora. RNAcentral's name for it is "long non-coding RNA (CGRA_LNC001821)". Lineage: Eukaryota; Viridiplantae; Streptophyta; Magnoliopsida; Brassicales; Brassicaceae. The record is from RNAcentral.